GAUUAAAGCCCCUUCGGGGGUGUAUAAAGUGGCGUAAGGGCGAGGAAUACAUUUCCACGUACCCCGAGGUCGAGGAUAGCCCAGGGAAACUUGGAGUAAUACUCGAUGUGGUGCUUCGGCAUCAAAGGCUUCGGUCGCCUUGGGAGCGGGGAAUGUCCUAUCAGGUUGUUGGUGAGGUAACGGCUCACCAAGCCUAUGACGGGUAGCGGGUGUGAGAGCAUGACCCGCCGCAUCGGGACUGAGACACUGCCCGGACUCCUACGGGAGGCUGCAGCAACGAAUCUUCCGCAAUGCGCGAAAGCGUGACGGAGCAAUGCCGCGUGCAGGAUGAAGCCCUUAGGGGUGUAAACUGCUGUCAGAGUCCAGCAACACAAUGAGCAGACUCAAAGGAAGGGCCGGCUAACUUCGUGCCAGCAGCCGCGGUAAUACGAAGGGCCCGAGCGUUGCGCGGAAUCACUGGGCUUAAAGCGUACGUAGGCGGACAUGCAGGCAUUUUGUGAAAUCCCUCGGCUCAACCGAGGAAUUGCAGGGUGAACCGCAUGUCUUGAGGUGAGUAGGGGCUGUCGGAACGAUAGGUGGAGCGGUGAAAUGCGUUGAUAUCUAUCGGAACGCCAAAGGCGAAGGCAGGCAGCUGGGCUUAUUCUGACGCUGAGGUACGAAAGCGUGGGGAGCGAACGGGAUUAGAUACCCCGGUAGUCCACGCCGUAAACGAUGUGCACUAGAUCGAGGGGGUUCUGACGCCAUUCUCGGUCGAAGC
Molecule: ribosomal RNA, 757 nt
Filed under: uncultured deep-sea bacterium
Lineage: Bacteria
Description: bacterial SSU rRNA
Rfam family: Bacterial small subunit ribosomal RNA
Source: RNAcentral